Molecule: long non-coding RNA, 1249 nt
Filed under: Mytilus galloprovincialis (Mediterranean mussel)
Lineage: Eukaryota; Metazoa; Mollusca; Bivalvia; Mytilida; Mytilidae
Source: RNAcentral
GACGUAAUAAAAAAACGUACUGAAAUUUAUUAGAACAAAAUCAGGCAAUCAAAUUGCGAGAAAUUAUUCUAAAUCAGGAUAAUAUGCUUUAAUCACCUGGUGUAAGAAGGUAUGUGUCAAAAAACUUAUAACUUGUACAAAAACCCUGUACAAAACAUAAUUUGUACAAACUAACAUUUAUUACACAACAUAUUUAUUUUCAUAUAUUUCGUAGGUUAAAAUGUUACCUUUUACCAUAUUGUUCAGUUGUUUGGGUAUUGUGUUCUGUGACGUAAUAAUGGAGACCUCCCAUGUAGCUCACAGAAAAACAUACUCCCUUUACAGUGUUUUAAGUUUUGACAUAUUGUGACCUAUUUCAAUCAGUUUUAUUUGUCAAGAGAUGAUAUUCUGCAGACAAAGCGGCAUAACUCAGACCGAAAUAUAAACGAAAUCUAUUUGUUGUUCACUAAUGCAUGGCAGAUUAAAAUUUUGUUUCCGGUAACUGAUUGAAAAAAAUAGAUAUAUGCUUAUAGUCAAAUUGUAUUUUUGAUACAGAUAACUAUAAAUUCACGGACGCCAUAACGAGUUGGUUGACUUGGUUAUGGGGGGGGGGGGGGGUGUGCUUUAUAACUUGCUGUUCGGUGUGAGUCAAUGCUCCGUGUUGAAGACCGUACUUUGACCUAUAAUGGUUUUCUCACACCAUAUCUUAUUAUUAUUAUAUCUAUUUGUUUAUUAGAUAAGGCCUGUUUCUCAGAUAAUGUAGUAAUAUGUCAACUAUUUGUGUGGUAAGGAAGGAUAAGAUGUUUUUGUUAAAAAAUACACGGUUCAUCUUAUCUUGACUUUAAUUUGUAAAUCAGUGAUAAAAUUAAGUUUCCUGCAAGGUCUGUUUUCAAAUACUAUAUGCAAUAGGUCAACUAUAUAUAAUAAUGUAUCCAAAUGACAUUUGUUAAAAAACAGAGUAUGUUUUGUUGUAAAUGCAAUUAAUUUCUGUUUCAGUGACCGCUAGAAAUAUCCAGGCAACUCCAGGAGCCCAACCAUCUGGUGGUCAUUUGCCAAUACUGACCGGUACCAGGAAACGUUGUCAAUAUUGUUGGAUGAACAAGAUCAAGACAAAAAGAGGAUGGGAUAUCUUCAGUGCUUACAAGUGUAGCCAAUGUGAUGUUUCAUUGUGUUACACCUACCGAAAUUGUUUUGAAGUUUUUCAUACGAUUUUCAAAGAUAAAAUCAAUGACAGUGAAUGGAUCGCACAAUUUCACCGAAUGUAGCCAAC